Molecule: ribosomal RNA, 587 nt
Filed under: uncultured bacterium
Lineage: Bacteria
Description: bacterial SSU rRNA
Rfam family: Bacterial small subunit ribosomal RNA
Source: RNAcentral
ACGCUGGCGGCGGGCCUAACACAUGCAAGUCGAACGAGAUGCCUUCGGGCAUCUAGUGGCGAACGGGUGAGUAACACGUGAGGAACCUGCCCCGAAGACGGGGAUAACCGUGGGAAACUGCGGCUAAUACCCGAUACCCCCGAUGCGGCGCAUGCCGCGACGAGGAAAUGCUCCGGUGCUUCGGGAGGGUCUCGCGGCCUAUCAGCUAGUUGGUGAGGUAACGGCUCACCAAGGCUUCGACGGGUAGCUGGUCUGAGAGGACGAUCAGCCACACUGGGACUGAGACACGGCCCAGACUCCUGCGGGAGGCAGCAGUGGGGAAUCUUGCGCAAUGGGCGAAAGCCUGACGCAGCCACGCCGCGUGGGGGACGAAGGCCCUCGGGUUGUAAACCCCUUUCAGCAGGGACGAAAAUGACGGUACCUGCAGAAGAAGCUCCGGCCAACUACGUGCCAGCAGCCGCGGUAACACGUAGGGAGCAAGCGUUGUCCGGAUUUAUUGGGCGUAAAGGGCUCGUANGCGGUUUGGUAAGUCAGGUGUGAAAGCUCAGGGCUCAACUCUGAGAAGCCAUCUGAAACUGCCAUGACUA